UACAGAGGUCUCAAGCGUUGUUCGGAUUCAUUGGGCGUAAAGGGCGCGUAGGCGGCGGGGUCAGUCGGGUGUGAAAUCUUGGGGCUUAACCCCGAAACGGCACUCGAAACUGCCCGGCUGGAGGGCCGGAGAGGAGAUCGGAAUUCACGGUGUAGCAGUGAAAUGCGUAGAGAUCGUGAGGAAGACCCGUGGCGAAGGCGGAUCUCUGGACCGGAACUGACGCUGAGGCGCGAAAGCGUGGGGAGCAAACAGG
This 253-nucleotide ribosomal RNA is filed under the name uncultured bacterium. RNAcentral's name for it is "partial 16S ribosomal RNA". It matches the Rfam family "Bacterial small subunit ribosomal RNA", at positions 524 to 776 of the family's 1533-position model. The record is from RNAcentral.